RNAcentral lists this microRNA (21 nucleotides) under Ananas comosus (pineapple). Its description in RNAcentral is "microRNA s1223_c023b". Lineage: Eukaryota; Viridiplantae; Streptophyta; Magnoliopsida; Poales; Bromeliaceae. The record is from RNAcentral.
AUAUAUAGAGUCCGGCUACUA